Molecule: unclassified non-coding RNA, 341 nt
Filed under: soil metagenome
Description: partial contains 5.8S ribosomal RNA, internal transcribed spacer 2, and large subunit ribosomal RNA
Rfam family: 5.8S ribosomal RNA (bases 1-120)
Source: RNAcentral
GAUGAAGAACGCAGCGAAAUGCGAUAAGUAGUGUGAAUUGCAGAAUUCAGUGAAUCAUCGAAUCUUUGAACGCACAUUGCGCCCUUUGGUAUUCCAAAGGGCAUGCCUGUUCGAGCGUCAUUUGUACCCUCAAGCUUUGCUUGGUGUUGGGCGUCUUGUCUCUAGCUUUGCUGGAGACUCGCCUUAAAGUAAUUGGCAGCCGGCCUACUGGUUUCGGAGCGCAGCACAAGUCGCACUCUCUAUAAGCAAAGGUCUAGCAUCCACUAAGCCUUUUUUUCAACUUUUGACCUCGGAUCAGGUAGGGAUACCCGCUGAACUUAAGCAUAUCAAUAAGCGGAGGA